UGUAAUUACAGUAAUGCGUUACCCAGUUGCCAGGCUGUGAAAUGGAGUAGCUAGCUUGGGAUCAUAUAGCACCAACCCUGAAAGAUCUGCACUGGCUGCCUAUAUGCUUCCUGGCUGAAUGUAAGCCCUUCUCCCAUAACAGAUGUCCCUAGAAGUCAAUCAGCAUGAAGGGUAGUGUGUUAGCUACUGAGAAGAGUCUGGUCAAUGGCUGACUUGCCUCCUUUCACUCUGGCUCCAAUCAGCAGGAGAGAAUGCUGGAGAUAUACAGACCCUGCUGGGACCCGUCACACCCAUUCCAGAUGACUACAUCCCUGCUUAAAAGACAGAAGGGAAUAAAGAAAGAAACAACAAUGAAGGUUGCUAAUAUUAUAUAUAUGCCGCGCAAUUGUUACGGUUGGAAAUUCCACUUACCUAAUGUGUGUAUUUUAUGGAUGUAAAUGUACA
This is a long non-coding RNA of Rhineura floridana, 444 nucleotides long. RefSeq lists it as uncharacterized. NCBI's taxonomy places the organism in Eukaryota, Metazoa, Chordata, Lepidosauria, Squamata, Rhineuridae. The transcript is spliced from 3 exons. The record is from RefSeq and is a predicted model, not a curated record.